RNAcentral lists this transfer RNA (70 nucleotides) under Casuarius casuarius (southern cassowary). RNAcentral describes it as "tRNA-His". It matches the Rfam family "tRNA". Rfam says of the family: Transfer RNA (tRNA) molecules are approximately 80 nucleotides in length. The record is from RNAcentral. Lineage: Eukaryota; Metazoa; Chordata; Aves; Casuariiformes; Casuariidae.
GCAAAUAUAGUUUUAACUAAAACAUUAGAUUGUGAUUCUAAAAAUAGAAGUUAAAAUCUUCUUAUUUACC